Molecule: ribosomal RNA, 253 nt
Filed under: uncultured bacterium
Lineage: Bacteria
Description: partial 16S ribosomal RNA
Rfam family: Bacterial small subunit ribosomal RNA
Source: RNAcentral
GACGAACCGAGCGAACGUUGUUCGGAAUCACUGGGCUUAAAGGGCGCGUAGGCGGGUGAUCAAGUCCGGGGUGAAAUCCUCCAGCGCAACUGGAGAACUGCCUCGGACACUGGUUGCCUCGAGGAAGGUAGGGGUGUGUGGAACGUUCAGUGGAGCGGUGAAAUGCAUUGAUAUUGAACGGAACUCCGGUGGCGAAGGCGACACCCUGGACCUUUUCUGACGCUGAGGCGCGACAGCUAGGGGAGCAAACGGG